CCAGUGGCGGUCUCGCCGCAGCCUCUCCUGCGCAGUAGUUUGCACACUCGCACCGGGAGCGCGGCGCGGCCACAGCCGUAAAACACCCCAAACUUCUGAAAUGUUGACCUCGGAUCAGGUAGGAAUACCCGCUGAACUUAAGCAUAUCAAAAGUGGGGAAAGACUC
RNAcentral lists this ribosomal RNA (166 nucleotides) under Trichoderma saturnisporum. RNAcentral's name for it is "partial 28S ribosomal RNA". The record is from RNAcentral. Lineage: Eukaryota; Fungi; Ascomycota; Sordariomycetes; Hypocreales; Hypocreaceae.